AUGGAAAGCACUGAUCAGAUCAGAACUGCAGUGGAAUCACUUGGCUCCAAGGCUGCAGGCAGCGACGUCAGUACAGCUGCAGAGGAGGGGAGCUUCUUUUUUUUUUUCAUCUCCUUCCUAAAACCUAACAGCUUCUCAGAGCUGCUUGCACAACUUCCCAAUAUGUUUGCUCAUCUGAGCAGUGCUAUGGUGCCCAAACUGAUGCACAGACACUGUUCCAAUGUCUUGCCACACUCUGACACAUGUGCUGCCAUUUGGCCAGCACCAUCCACCCGUGCGAGCUAAUUUAAGGUUGCUAAACAGAAGACACAGAACAUACAUCUUUUAUAUUUGAUCUCGACACUGGUAAGUUCUCUGACUGAUGGUUAAUCUUAACUUGUAAUAGGAUUUGUCCACACUCCCCCAAGUGCAGAACCUUGGUCUGCUAUUAAUUUCUGUGCUCCAGCUUCCUAUCACUUGGAGUGAUACAGGGUUUUGUGGUUGAUGUGGGUUUGAUGUAGGCACUGAUUAGAUAUUUUGAAAAGUUUAUCCAAGGUUUCAAUAGUGCAUUAGUAUGCUAAUAUGGAAUUUGGGCCAUGUUGCUAUUUUCUUGUGCAGGUCAGCAAGCAGACACAAGCCAGGCAGUUGCAGCCCCAGGUUGGUGAGGUCUAUCCCUUCCCACCUCUCCUCUGUACUCUGCUUUGGUCAAAGGGUAAGGUGCCAGGGGUGGUCAGGUUUAGGCACUAACUUGUUUUCAUGGCAGUUCUCCAGGGCUGAACUCCUGUUGUACAUUAACUAACCUGCACUAUGGAAGAAAGGUCACGUAUGCAACUUAAAAGCAAUACACACACAAGAAACCACCAGGUCAUCUGUGCUAUGUGUUUGAGAGCCAGGCUGACCCACUUUUCUGCCUAAGUGUAUUUCUGUGCAAGGCAGGGUCACCCCACGGAGGGAGAUGUUUGUUCCAAUGAUGGCAUUGCUCUACAUGCAGGAGAUGUAUUAGCAAGGUCCACGUUACAGGGCCUGGAUCCCACUGUCCUCUGAUCCUUUGCAAAUUUACUGUGAAGGCAGUUAAUCACAAAUUUAGUGUUGUUUGGUUUGGUUUAGUGUGACAUUCAGGAUUCCUUUACAGGCAACUGUGCAGAGCAGGGAAAUCUAUGUGAAGUGCUUCCUACCGGAGUCACCAUCUGGCCAAUAUUCAUCUUGUUUAGUGAAAUACCAAGAUAUCCAUAGAACGCAGGUGUUAAUGCAGAUCAUAAGGCACAAGUGACCGCAGUAAUAAACCAACAUGCAAUGAAAUGUAAUUAAUGCA
Molecule: long non-coding RNA, 1291 nt
Filed under: Coturnix japonica (Japanese quail)
Lineage: Eukaryota; Metazoa; Chordata; Aves; Galliformes; Phasianidae
Description: lncRNA (ENSCJPG00005018415.1)
Source: RNAcentral